This 213-nucleotide ribosomal RNA is filed under the name Triticum aestivum (bread wheat). RNAcentral describes it as "partial small subunit ribosomal RNA". Lineage: Eukaryota; Viridiplantae; Streptophyta; Magnoliopsida; Poales; Poaceae. The record is from RNAcentral.
GGCGUGGGUUGGGCUUACAAAGACCCAGAACAAGUUCAAUUACAGCCGCAAGCGUGGUUUACCUAUCCUCAGUAUGACAAGAUUCGACGAAUACUCUGCUUGGAUGAUCCACAUGACGGUGUCAAAUAAGGCACUAUGUACUUCUUCAUGUCGCUCCUUGAUAUGCGGAGGUGACCUCCUGGCACCGACACAAACUUAACACGCCCAGCCUCA